AAGUCGUAACAAGGUUUCCGUAGGUGAACCUGCGGAAGGAUCAUUAACACGUAUCCAACGUUAAACCCCCCGUGCACACAGCGACCUGCUCCCCUCAAUUUCGGUCUUUUGGCAAUCCCUGGUAAAUCAUUGUUGACCAGCUUUUGAGUCAGGGACCUCUGCCGAAACGGCUGUUCAGUACCGAGCGCGGUGUAAGCGACCUGGCAUCCCCAAGCGAUCAGUGUCUGAAAGUGUCAUUGAUUGUGUAAGGAUGGCGCAGUAAACGAUUGCUAGAGGCCCACACGGCCGGCAACCGGGUCCCAGGGCUCACGCCCCUUUAUCACCCCACAGUUUCCGACUGGGCAGCCGAUAAUACGGACGCCGUAAAAAACUGAACAACUGUUAACAAUGGAUAUCUUGGUUCUC
This 405-nucleotide unclassified non-coding RNA is filed under the name fungal sp. RNAcentral describes it as "partial internal transcribed spacer region". The stretch from base 1 to 46 matches the Rfam family "Eukaryotic small subunit ribosomal RNA", at positions 1786 to 1831 of the family's 1831-position model. Lineage: Eukaryota; Fungi. The record is from RNAcentral.